ACGAACGCUGGCGGCGUGCUUAACCCCUGCCAGUCGAACGGUGAAGCGCCUUCCUUUUUGGUGGGUGUGGAUGAGCGGCGAACGGGUGAGUAACACGUGAGUAACCUGCCCCCUUCUUCUGGAUAACCGCAUGAAAGUGUGGCUAAUACGGGAUAUUCUGGGUCUGUCGCAUGAUGGGUCUGGGAAAGAUAUUGUUUCGGUGGGGGAUGGGCUCGCGGCCUAUCAGCUUGUUGGUGGGGUGAUGGCCUACCAAGGCGGUGACGGGUAGCCGGCCUGAGAGGGUGGACGGUCACACUGGGACUGAGACACGGCCCAGACUCCUACGGGAGGCAGCAGUGGGGAAUAGUGCACAAUGGGCGCAAGCCUGAUGCAGCGACGCCGCGUGAGGGAUGGAGGCCUUCGGGUUGUGAACCUCUUUCGCCAGUGAAGCAGGCCUGCCUCGUUUGUGGGUGGGUUGACGGUAGCUGGAUAAGAAGCGCCGGCUAACUACGUG
This 493-nucleotide ribosomal RNA is filed under the name uncultured bacterium. RNAcentral's name for it is "partial 16S ribosomal RNA". It matches the Rfam family "Bacterial small subunit ribosomal RNA", at positions 29 to 507 of the family's 1533-position model. The record is from RNAcentral.